GGCAAGUUACAACCACUGGACCAGUAACAUCAAGUGGGCAAGUUACAACUACUGGACAAGUUACAUCAAGUGUGCAAGUUACAACUACUGGACCAGUUACAUCAAGUGGGCAAGUUACAACCACUGGACCAGUUACAUCAAGUGGGCAAGUUACAACUACUGGACAAGUUACAUCAAGUGGGCAAGUUACAACUACUGGACAAGUUACAUCAAGUGGGCAAGUUACAACUACUGGACCAGUUACAUCAAGUGGGCAAGUUACAACUACUGGACAAGUUACAUCAAGUGGGCAAGUUACAACCACUGGACCAGUUACAUCAAGUGGGCAAGUUACAACUACUGGACCAGUUACAUCAAGUGGGCAAGUUACAACUACUGGACUAGUUACUACUAGUCACACCACCGUGGGGAACAUUAAUGUCACCACUAACGGCCUAGAAAACGCAGUAAAUAUCAUGAAAAAUCUCUCCUCCUACCUGGAACAGACGGGCAACUCCACGGCAUAUAUUAAAAUAGGCAAUAUUAAAGGAGUGGUCACUAAACUUCCCCCCAGAAAUCAAGAAAACAUCAACAUUGGCAUCACAACAAGUGAUGGUGUCAAAAUUAUAGAGAAUAACAAUGAUUUGACGACAGGCUGCUCUCGAUUGGUACAAAUCCCAAAAGAGGCCAGUGACAUGGCAGUAGGAAGAAAUGGUUCAUUUGUUGGAGUUGUAUUUUUUUCAGGAAUAUAUCAGUAUUCCACUCUCAGCAGAAUGACUCCAACAGUUAUUUUCUCAACAAUGAGGCAGUGGGAAUUGAUAUGGGAACAGAAAUAUCCAACCUCUCACAUACCAUAGACAUUCAGUUCAAUAAUGUGGACAAGGUAAGAGGUGGAAGAUAAAAUA
Long non-coding RNA from Micropterus salmoides (largemouth bass), 884 nucleotides. RefSeq lists it as uncharacterized. The transcript is spliced from 4 exons. The record is from RefSeq and is a predicted model, not a curated record. NCBI's taxonomy places the organism in Eukaryota, Metazoa, Chordata, Actinopteri, Centrarchiformes, Centrarchidae.